UGGGAAUAACAGGCUGGUCUUCUACAAGAGCCCAUUUCGACGUGAAGGUGUGGCACCUUGAGGUCAGCUGC
RNAcentral lists this ribosomal RNA (71 nucleotides) under Dunaliella tertiolecta. RNAcentral describes it as "partial Bacterial large subunit ribosomal RNA". The record is from RNAcentral. Lineage: Eukaryota; Viridiplantae; Chlorophyta; Chlorophyceae; Chlamydomonadales; Dunaliellaceae.